RNAcentral lists this ribosomal RNA (446 nucleotides) under uncultured bacterium. RNAcentral describes it as "partial 16S ribosomal RNA". It matches the Rfam family "Bacterial small subunit ribosomal RNA", at positions 338 to 795 of the family's 1533-position model. The record is from RNAcentral.
CCUACGGGAGGCAGCAGUCGAGAAUCAUUCACAAUGGGGGAAACCCUGAUGGUGCGACGCCGCGUGGGGGAAUGAAGGUCUUCGGAUUGUAAACCCCUGUCAUGUGGGAGCAAAUUAAAAAGAUAGUACCACAAGAGGAAGAGACGGCUAACUCUGUGCCAGCAGCCGCGGUAAUACAGAGGUCUCAAGCUUUGCUCGAAACCACUGGGCGGAAAGCGUGCGUAGGCUGUUUCGUAAGUCGUGUGUGAAAGGCGCGGGCUCAACCCGCGGACGGCACAUGAUACUGCGAGACUAGAGUAAUGGAGGGGGAACCGGAAUUCUCGGUGUAGCAGUGAAAUGCGUAGAUAUCGAGAGGAACACUCGUGGCGAAGGCGGGUUCCUGGACAUUAACUGACGCUGAGGCACGAAGGCCAGGGGAGCGAAAGGGAUUAGAUACCCGAGUAGUC